Molecule: ribosomal RNA, 1305 nt
Filed under: metagenome
Description: SSU rRNA
Rfam family: Eukaryotic small subunit ribosomal RNA
Source: RNAcentral
ACUUUGAUGGUCGGUUACGAUAAGUAAUCUUGUACUGUUAGAGUAAACCUUUCCUACUGGUUACUCGACUCUGUUCUUUAUUGGAUGGAGUAGUGUCGCAAGGCAUCAUUUAAUAUUAUAUUGCUUUUUAAUGUAGUAAUUGGGUUAAACUGGUUAUGAAGUUAAAAGGAGAACAGUAUGGUAUUAAAUGGGGUUCCAGUUCAUUUACUUUGAGUAAAUUAGAGUGUUCAAAGCAGCCUUUUGGGGCAUUGAAUAGAUUAGCAUGGGAUAAUAGAAUAGGAUUUUUGUCUAUUUAUUUGGUUUUUAGAUUUAAAAUAAUGGUUAAUAGGGAUAGUUGGGGGCACUUGUAUUCAAUAGUCAGAGGUGAAAUUCUAGGAUUUAUUGAAGACAAACUUCAGCGAAAGCAUUUGCCAAGCAUGUUUUCAUUAAUCAAGAACGAAAGUUAGGGGAUCGAAGACGAUUAGACACCGUCGUAGUCUUAACUAUAAACUAUGCCGACCAGGGAUAUGAGGGAUUUUUUAAUUUAUGCUAUUAUCAAAUAGCAUAAUCUCUUGUGAACCUUGUGAGAAAUCAUAAGUUUUUGGGUUCUGGGGGGAGUAUGGUCGCAAGGCUGAAACUUAAAGGAAUUGACGGAGGGGCACCACCAGGAGUGGAGCCUGCGGCUUAAUUUGACGCAACACGGGAAAACUUACCAGGUCCAGACAUUUGAAGGAUUGACAGGUUGAUAGCCCUUUCUUGAUUAAAUGGGUGGUGGUACAUGGCCGUUCUUAGUUGGUGGAGUGAUUUGUCUGGUUAAUUCCGAUAACGAACGAGACCUCUGCCAUUAAAUAGGGAUAAUUAUGUGAAAACAUAGUUAGUUAUAAAUAUUUACCCUUCUUAAUGGGACUUUUGGUUUUUAAUCCAAAGGAAGUUAGAGGCAAUAACAGGUCUGUGAUGCCCUUAGAUGUUCUGGGCCGCACGCGCGCUACACUGAUAGCAUCAAAAAGUAUAUUUAUUUAAUCCUUCCCUGGAAAGGGUGGGUAAUCUUUUUUAAAUGCUAUCGUGAUGGGGAUAGAUGAUUGCAAUUAUUCAUCUUGAACGAGGAAUUCCUAGUAAGCAUAAGUCAUCAGCUUAUGUUGAUUACGUCCCUGCCCCUUGUACACACCGCCCGUCGCUGCUACCGAUUGGAUGAUCCGGUGAAAUCUUUGGAUUCCGAUAAAAUACUUGGAGUAAUAUUCAAGUUUUAUUGGGAGAAGUUGAUUAAACCUUAUCAUCUAGAGGAAGCAAAAGUCGUAACAAGGUUUCCGUAGGUGAACCUGCGGAAGG